UACAGAGGUUCCAAGCGUUGUUCGGAUUCACUGGGCGUAAAGGGUGCGUAGGUGGCCUGGCAAGUCUGACGUGAAAUCUCCGAGCCUAACUCGGAAACUGCGUCGGAUACUAUCCGGCUUGAGGGUUGGAGGGGGGACUGGAAUACUUGGUGUAGCAGUGAAAUGCGUAGAUAUCAAGUGGAACACCAGUGGCGAAGGCGAGUCCCUGGACAACUCCUGACACUGAGGCACGAAAGCUAGGGGAGCAAACAGG
Molecule: ribosomal RNA, 253 nt
Filed under: uncultured bacterium
Lineage: Bacteria
Description: partial 16S ribosomal RNA
Rfam family: Bacterial small subunit ribosomal RNA
Source: RNAcentral